RNAcentral lists this transfer RNA (87 nucleotides) under Firmicutes bacterium HGW-Firmicutes-21. RNAcentral's name for it is "tRNA-Leu". It matches the Rfam family "tRNA". Rfam says of the family: Transfer RNA (tRNA) molecules are approximately 80 nucleotides in length. Their secondary structure includes four short double-helical elements and three loops (D, anti-codon, and T loops). Lineage: Bacteria; Bacillati; Bacillota. The record is from RNAcentral.
GCACCUGUGGCGGAACUGGCAGACGCGCUAGAUUCAGGUUCUAGUCGGGGUAACUCGGUGCAGGUUCAAUUCCUGUCAGGUGCACCA